RNAcentral lists this ribosomal RNA (252 nucleotides) under uncultured bacterium. Its description in RNAcentral is "partial 16S ribosomal RNA". It matches the Rfam family "Bacterial small subunit ribosomal RNA", at positions 524 to 776 of the family's 1533-position model. The record is from RNAcentral.
UACAGAGGAUGCAAGCGUUAUCCGAAUGAUUGGGCGUAAAGCGUCUGUAGGUGGCUUUUUAAGUCCGCCGUCAAAUCCCAGGGCUCAACUCUGGACAGGCGGUGGAAACUACCAAGCUGGAGUACGGUAGGGGCAGAGGGAAUUUCCGGUGGAGCGGUGAAAUGCGUAGAGAUCGGAAAGAACACCAGUGGCGAAGGCGGUUGCCUGGGGCUUUGCUGACGCUGAUGCGCGAAAGCGUGGGGAGCGAUCCGG